UGAGCAAUCUGCCCUUCUCAUCGGAAUAAGCGUUGGAAACGACGUCUAAUGCCGAAUACGACCUCCUUUCGCAUGAUCGGAGGUGGAAAGCUCCGGCGGAGAAGGAUGAGCUCGCGGCCUAUCAACUAGUUGGUGUGGGUAAUGGCCCACAAGGCGACGACGGGUAGCCGGCCUGAGAGGGUGACCGGCCACACUGGGACUGAGACACCGGCCCAGACCUCCGUACGGGGAGG
This 233-nucleotide ribosomal RNA is filed under the name uncultured bacterium. RNAcentral's name for it is "partial 16S ribosomal RNA". It matches the Rfam family "Bacterial small subunit ribosomal RNA", at positions 118 to 347 of the family's 1533-position model. The record is from RNAcentral.